This 253-nucleotide ribosomal RNA is filed under the name uncultured bacterium. Its description in RNAcentral is "partial 16S ribosomal RNA". It matches the Rfam family "Bacterial small subunit ribosomal RNA", at positions 524 to 776 of the family's 1533-position model. The record is from RNAcentral.
UACGAAGGGGGCUAGCGUUGCUCGGAAUCACUGGGCGUAAAGGGUGCGUAGGUGGAUUUUUAAGUCAGGGGUGAAAUCCUGGAGCUCAACUCCAGAACUGCCUUUGAUACUGGGAAUCUUGAGUUCGGGAGAGGUGAGUGGAACUGCGAGUGUAGAGGUGAAAUUCGUAGAUAUUCGCAAGAACACCAGUGGCGAAGGCGGCUCACUGGCCCGAUACUGACACUGAGGCACGAAAGCGUGGGGAGCAAACAGG